Long non-coding RNA from Mya arenaria, 273 nucleotides. RefSeq lists it as uncharacterized. The transcript is spliced from 3 exons. The record is from RefSeq and is a predicted model, not a curated record. Lineage: Eukaryota; Metazoa; Mollusca; Bivalvia; Myida; Myidae.
AGCCUUCGUUUCAUCAUAAACCACAUUGCCAAACCAAUAUUCUCGGAGGGUAGGACAACGGGCUGGUGGAAUGACAUGACACAGAUUGCCAAAUUCCCAAACGCUUUCUGCAAAAUAUCUGGGUUGAUUUCUGAGCAAAAAGAAGACACAUGGGGGUCCAUAGACUACCCACCGUUCAUUGACCACGUUCUCUCAGUAUUUGGAGUAGACAGAUGUGUGUUUGGAUCAGACUGGCCCGUUUUCGAAAAUGCUGGGGUCACCUAUGAAGAAAAC